AUAUCUGAAUGCCAUAGAUGUAGAUCUGAAGGAAGGGUGGAUUCAGACCUAAGACCUUUUUAACUUGUUCUCCUCAGCAUUGCCAGAUGCUUCCCUGACAUGUUUCUUCCUGCUGUGCAGAGCUCAGACAUGAGUGCUUUUCAUCUGAGGAACGAGAAACAACAGUAUCUUCAGGUUUCUCCUGCCUUCCUUUCCUGUCCUUACUACUUUGGAGCAGCUCGGUGA
Molecule: long non-coding RNA, 225 nt
Filed under: Phasianus colchicus (ring-necked pheasant)
Lineage: Eukaryota; Metazoa; Chordata; Aves; Galliformes; Phasianidae
Description: lncRNA (ENSPCLG00000002401.1)
Source: RNAcentral